AUUGAACGCUGGCGGCAGGCCUAACACAUGCAAGUCGAGCGGUAGAGAGAAGCUUGCUUCUCUUGAGAGCGGCGGACGGGUGAGUAAUGCCUAGGAAUCUGCCUGGUAGUGGGGGAUAACGUCCGGAAACGGACGCUAAUACCGCAUACGUCCUACGGGAGAAAGCAGGGGACCUUCGGGCCUUGCGCUAUCAGAUGAGCAUAGGUCGGAUUAGCUAGUUGGUGAGGUAAUGGCUCACCAAGGCGACGAUCCGUAACUGGUCUGAGAGGAUGAUCAGUCACCCUGGAACUGAGACACGGUCCAGACUCCUACGGGAGGCAGCAGUGGGGAAUAUUGGACAAUGGGCGAAAGCCUGAUCCAGCCAUGCCGCGUGUGUGAAGAAGGUCUUCGGAUUGUAAAGCACUUUAAGUUGGGAGGAAGGGCAGUAAGCUAAUACCUUGCUGUUUUGACGUUACCGACAGAAUAAGCACCGGCUAACUCUGUGCCAGCAGCCGCCGCAG
This 500-nucleotide ribosomal RNA is filed under the name uncultured bacterium. Its description in RNAcentral is "partial 16S ribosomal RNA". It matches the Rfam family "Bacterial small subunit ribosomal RNA", at positions 30 to 523 of the family's 1533-position model. The record is from RNAcentral.